CACAAUCGGUAAAUUGAAAACAAGGGUGAUCACUAUCAAGCAUUACGGGAGGCGGAUUAGGAAGUCUAGGUUGAUGACUACUUUCAACUUGCUUAUCUUUUGUAGGUCGGGGAGCAGUGGGAAGGGUAGUACUAUGACAACUACUUUCACCGGUUUUACCUUUUCCUUUACCGAACAUAUUUUCAAAGAAAAUGCCAUACUAAUUAGAAUUAUGCAAACUAAAC
Molecule: long non-coding RNA, 224 nt
Filed under: Nicotiana benthamiana
Lineage: Eukaryota; Viridiplantae; Streptophyta; Magnoliopsida; Solanales; Solanaceae
Description: long non-coding RNA (NBEN_LNC001082)
Source: RNAcentral